UGGUGUUCUUCUGUUGAUCAUCGCUGCUGCUGCUGCUGCUGCAGCUGUGUUUCUCUAUCGGAAAUACACACAGAACAAUCGUGAUCAGGGGAAAAAAUUGCAAGUCUUGUCUCCUGAUCAGAGUACAUCUUUAGUUAUACCUCCGGAGGUCAACGCUUCUUAAUGGGACUUCUAAUGGACAUCAUGUGACGCGUUAAAGAAUAGUGUCACAGCCAGCGAGGGAGACUGGGAGUGUGAAUCCAGUGGAUAUUAUACUGUUACACAUGUAAACCAGCGCUUGUAAGCAUCAUGGGCACAUGGCUUUAGCUAAUCAGCUUAUUGUUUUUUUUUUUUUUACUUUUUUUUUAGCGCUGCUUUUGUUCCUUUAUGCUGUGUAUACACGUGUAUACCGUGUAUGCGCAAUUUUAUGCCCAGUUUUCACUCACAUCAAGGAAGUUUUGUGGAGAUCUCUGACAAAACCUGAAAUCUGCAGCAGAUAGGUGCUAUUUUACAUCAGUGAAGUUUUGUGGGGAGCGCUCACAAAACCUGAAAUCUGUGGCAGAUAGGUGCUAGAGUUCAUGAGUGAAGUUCACAUAUUCUGAAAUAUCACAGAUGUGAUUUAAGAGAACCAUUGUGUCGCAGAUGCAAAAUGAAUUUUUAACAACCUAUAGCAGGAUAAAAACCUGGACCUGUCUGUGAUUCAGUGUCUAGCAGUGUGAAAUGUGUUUUAACUUGAAAUGACAUCAGUGGUGCCUUCUAGCCAAUGAGAGAGCACGAUACAGGACAAGGGAGAGUUCCAGUCUCACACCGGAGUCCAGCUCACGUGUGAUCUUACAUUUCAUCAUAUCACUUCUUACUUAUGGCUUUUCUGCAUGAGAUGAGGAUUUGUGGAGGUUUCUUCCCAGUGAAAUAUUGUAAUGUUACACCAGUCACCAACACAUCAUGUAGUGCAAAGCGCUGUUGUGUUGUGUAAAAGGGACAGUGAUCUGACAGCUUAAAUUGUGUAGUGUAUGGAUGGCACUAUUCCCUUUUUCUACAUGCAACCCUCAAUGGACGCCUUGACAGUGUAAUUGCCAUUAGCUGGCUAGACAUUUUUUUCAUUUACUCACCAGUAUUUUGUUUGUAUACAUUUGUGUGUGUGUGUGUGUAUAUAUACAUAUAUAUAUUUACUAUUUUUUUUAACCAUUUUUAUAUUCUGUGGUAAAUUACAUUAAGGCCAUACUAAUAGUUUUAGUAAAAAUUUUAGGCCAUGUAAAUAGUUUUUAUUACAUUAUAUAUUCGAUAUUUCAUAUCUUGAAAGGUGUUUUUUAUGCACUUGAGUCAGAUAUAUCAACUUUAGCAUUACUUAUACAAACCAUACUUUCCAGAUUUAUCCCUAUCAAUAUUUUGAAGUUUUUAUUGAGGGAGUUUGUCCAUAUAUCUUUCCCCCAGUACAUUGUGGAAAGUAUUUUUUUGUUUUUUUUGCACAUUUAUUUUUUGCAGUUGACUAUUUCUGAUUGAUGAAGAGAAAUCCAAAAUCCCCUCUUAUAAAAACCUUUAAAAUGUCAAUAAAAUGAAACAAUAAUUUUUACGUUUUGAACCUGUUUGAUACAGUGUUCAGUUUUCUGAUUUCAAAAUAUAAGUAAAUUGAAGCUUUUAUACUUGAAUGAUGUGAUAUUUUAAUAUUUAAACAACAGUUUAGGAAAAAAUGGUCUUGAAGUACUGUGAUUGAUCAUCUGAAGAAAUAUUUUAAUAUUUUUACCCUGUUCACCUGUAGUGUCUUGCUUUAAUUCAUUUAAUCCCACCAGUCACAAUAGUGACCAUGAAGAAAGUUUUCAUUUAUUAAGCUCUAAAACAUGUUAGUGACUGGUGUUUUAGAGCAUCUCCUGCACUAUAUUGAUGUUGCACUACUGGUUGCACUUAUAUAACAUUU
This is a long non-coding RNA of Carassius auratus (goldfish), 1891 nucleotides long. RefSeq lists it as uncharacterized. The transcript is spliced from 4 exons. The record is from RefSeq and is a predicted model, not a curated record. Lineage: Eukaryota; Metazoa; Chordata; Actinopteri; Cypriniformes; Cyprinidae.